GACGAACGCUGGCGGCGUGCUUAACACAUGCACGUCGUACGAAGUGGCGAACGGGUGAGUAAUACGUGGGUAACUGCCCUCCUUUUUGGUAUAAGCCUUGGAAACGGGGUCUAAUACCGAAUAUUGGGGGAUGCCUCGCGUCCUAUCAGCUUGUUGGUGGGGUAGUGGCCUACCAAGGCGACGACGGUUAGCCGGCCUGAGAGAGCGACUGGCCACAGUGGGCUGGGAUACAGGCCAAACUCCUACGGGAGGCAGCAGAGGGGAAUAUUGCACGAGGGGGGAAACCCUGAUGCAGCAACGCCGCGUGCGGGAUGACGGCCUUCGGGUUGUAAACCGCUUUCAGCCAUGACGCGGUAGUGGCAGAAGAAGCACCGGCUAACUACGGGCCAGCAGCCGCGGUAAUAC
This 405-nucleotide ribosomal RNA is filed under the name uncultured bacterium. Its description in RNAcentral is "partial 16S ribosomal RNA". It matches the Rfam family "Bacterial small subunit ribosomal RNA", at positions 28 to 526 of the family's 1533-position model. The record is from RNAcentral.